CCGGCGCACGGGUGAGUAACACGUAUCCAACCUGCCGUCUACUCUUGGCCAGCCUUCUGAAGGAAGAUUAAUCCAGGAUGGCAUCAUGAGUUCACAUGUCCGCAUGAUUAAAGGUAUUUUCCGGUAGACGAUGGGGAUGCGUUCCAUUAGAUAGUAGGCGGGGUAACGGCCCACCUAGUCAACGAUGGAUAGGGGUUCUGAGAGGAAGGUCCCCCACAUUGGAACUGAGACACGGUCCAA
This 240-nucleotide ribosomal RNA is filed under the name uncultured bacterium. Its description in RNAcentral is "partial 16S ribosomal RNA". It matches the Rfam family "Bacterial small subunit ribosomal RNA", at positions 95 to 334 of the family's 1533-position model. The record is from RNAcentral.